CUACGGGAUGCUCCAGUGAGGAAUAUUGCACAAUGGGGGGAACCCUGAUGCAGCAACGCCGCGUGGAGGAUGACGCAUUUCGGUGUGUAAACUCCUUUUAUAUGUCAAGAAAAUGACGGUAGCAUAUGAAUAAGCACCGGCUAACUCCGUGCCAGCAGCCGCGGUAAUACGGAGGGUGCAAGCGUUACUCGGAAUCACUGGGCGUAAAGGACGCGUAGGCGGGUUGGAAAGUCAGGUGUGAAAUCCUACAGCUUAACUGUAGAACUGCACUUGAAACUUCUAAUCUAGAGUAUGGGAGGGGGAGAUGGAAUUAGUGGUGUAGGGGUAAAAUCCGUAGAUAUCACUAGGAAUACCUAAAGCGAAGGCGAUCUCCCGGAACAUUACUGACGCUAAGGCGUGAAAGCGUGGGGAGCAAACAGGAUUAGAUACCCGCGUAGUC
Molecule: ribosomal RNA, 439 nt
Filed under: uncultured bacterium
Lineage: Bacteria
Description: partial 16S ribosomal RNA
Rfam family: Bacterial small subunit ribosomal RNA
Source: RNAcentral